This 298-nucleotide unclassified non-coding RNA is filed under the name Atractiellales sp. Its description in RNAcentral is "partial contains 5.8S ribosomal RNA, internal transcribed spacer 2, and large subunit ribosomal RNA". The record is from RNAcentral. Lineage: Eukaryota; Fungi; Basidiomycota; Atractiellomycetes; Atractiellales.
CGCAUCUUGCACUCCAUGGUAUUCCGUGGAGUAUGUCUGUCUGAGUGUCAUGAAACUCUCAACCCUCUUACCUUUGUCUAACACUGGCAUUAGGGAUUGGAUCAUGAGUGCCUGCUGGACCUGCGCAUCAGCUCACUCUAAAUGUAUCAGUGGUCUGCUCUCUCUGUCUCUGCAGAUAUACCUGGUGUAAUAGGUUUUUAUUCACUGGGCAUCUGUGGGAGCGAAGUGUGGCUUACCAUUUCCAAACUACCAUUAAGUGUUUGGCCUCAGAUCAGGCAGGACUACCCGCUGAACUUAA